GAAGGUGAGAGGAAAGGCUUCGGUGCUCGGGGAGGGGCCUGCGGCCCAUCAGCUACUUGGAGAGGUAACGGCUCCCCAAUGGCAACUGACGGGUAUGGGGUGUGAGAGCAUGGGCCCCCACGCUGGGACUGAAACACAGCCCAGACUCCUACGGGAGGCAGCAGCAGGGAAUAUUGCUGCAAUGGACUGGAAGUCUGACGCAGCGACGCCGCGUGGAUGAUGAAGGCCUUCGGGUUGUAAAAUCCUUUUCCGUGGCGAUGAGACAGGACACUAACCUGGGAAUAAGCGUCGGCUAACUACGUGCCAGCAGCCGCCGCGUAAUGACGUAGGACGCGAGCGUUAUCCGGAUUUACUGGGCGUAAAGCGCCUGCAGGCGGUCAGGUAAGUCGGUUGUGAAAGCCCCGUGCUCAACGCGGGGAGGCCAAGCGAUACUGCGUGACUUGAGGGCGGAAGAGGGGAGUGGAAUUCCCGGUGUAGCGGUAAAAUGCGCAGAUAUCGGGAGGAACACCAGUGGCGAAGACGGCUCCCUGGACCGCACCUGACGCUCAGAGGCGAAAGCUAGGGGAGCGAACAGGAUUAGAGACCCUGGUAGUCCUAGCCCUAAACGCUGGAUGCUAGGUGUAGGGCUGAUGAGGCUCUGUGCCGGAGCGAACGCGAUAAGCAUCCCGCCUGGGAACGACGGCCGCAAGGCUAAAACUCAAACGAAUUGACGGGGACCCGCACAAGCAGCGGAGCGUGUGGUUUAAUUCGAUGCUACACGAAGAACCUUACGUGGGUUUGACAUGCUGGUGGUACCGAACAGUAAAGGGGAGGGACCGUUCGGGGAGCCUACACAGGUGCUGCAUGGCUGUAGUCAGCUCGUGCCGUGAGGUGUCGGGUUAAGUCCCGUAACGAGCGCAA
RNAcentral lists this ribosomal RNA (900 nucleotides) under uncultured organism. RNAcentral describes it as "bacterial SSU rRNA". It matches the Rfam family "Bacterial small subunit ribosomal RNA", at positions 190 to 1101 of the family's 1533-position model. The record is from RNAcentral.